Arachis ipaensis is the source of this 246-nucleotide non-coding RNA. The record is from RefSeq and is a predicted model, not a curated record. NCBI's taxonomy places the organism in Eukaryota, Viridiplantae, Streptophyta, Magnoliopsida, Fabales, Fabaceae.
CCUGUUGAAUGGACUGCUUUUGUGGAUCAUUAUAUGGAUCCUAAAACAAAGAAACAAUGUUUGCAAAACGCCAGAAAUCGUGAGAAACUUAUAGUUUCACAUGCCGGUGGAAGUAAAAGCAAUGCUAGAAGAACAACUCAGAUGGAAAGAAAUUGGGAAGGCCUGUAUGUCGAAGCGAGGUUAUUGUAUCAACUUUGCUAAAGAAAGAUGGGAGUUAUAUAAGCGGGGAAGGACAACGAUUAGCUG